GCUCAGGAUGAACGCUAGCGGGAGGCCUAACACAUGCAAGCCGAGCGGUAGAGAUUCUUCGGAAUCUUGAGAGCGGCGCACGGGUGCGGAACACGUGUGCAACCUGCCUUUAUCAGGGGAAUAGCCUUUCGAAAGGAAGAUUAAUGCCCCAUAAUAUAUCAUAUGGCAUCAUUUGAUAUUGAAAACUCCGGUGGAUAAAGAUGGGCACGCGCAGGAUUAGAUAGUUGGUAGGGUAACGGCCUACCAAGUCAGCGAUCCUUAGGGGGCCUGAGAGGGUGAUCCCCCACACUGGUACUGAGACACGGACCAGACUCCUACGGGAGGCAGCAGUGAGGAAUAUUGGACAAUGGGUGAGAGCCUGAUCCAGCCAUCCCGCGUGAAGGACGACGGCCCUAUGGGUUGUAAACUUCUUUUGUAUAGGGAUAAACCUACCCUCGUGAGGGUAGCUGAAGGUACUAUACGAAUAAGCACCGGCUAACUCCGUGCCAGCAGCCGCGGUAAUACGGAGGGUGCAAGCGUUAUCCGGAUUUAUUGGGUUUAAAGGGUCCGUAGGCUGAUGUGUAAGUCAGUGGUGAAAUCUCACAGCUUAACUGUGAAACUGCCAUUGAUACUGCAUGUCUUGAGUGUUGUUGAAGUAGCUGGAAUAAGUAGUGUAGCGGUGAAAUGCAUAGAUAUUACUUAGAACACCAAUUGCGAAGGCAGGUUACUAAGCAACAACUGACGCUGAUGGACGAAAGCGUGGGGAGCGAACAGGAUUAGAUACCCUGGUAGUCCACGCCGUAAACGAUGCUAACUCGUUUUUGGGCUUUCGGGUUCAGAGACUAAGCGAAAGUGAUAAGUUAGCCACCUGGGGAGUACGUUCGCAAGAAUGAAACUCAAAGGAAUUGACGG
This 891-nucleotide ribosomal RNA is filed under the name uncultured bacterium. RNAcentral's name for it is "bacterial SSU rRNA". It matches the Rfam family "Bacterial small subunit ribosomal RNA", at positions 22 to 916 of the family's 1533-position model. The record is from RNAcentral.